This 460-nucleotide ribosomal RNA is filed under the name uncultured bacterium. Its description in RNAcentral is "partial 16S ribosomal RNA". It matches the Rfam family "Bacterial small subunit ribosomal RNA", at positions 338 to 795 of the family's 1533-position model. The record is from RNAcentral.
CCUACGGGUGGCAGCAGUGAGGAAUAUUGGUCAAUGGCCGCGAGCCUGAACCAGCCAAGUCGCGUGAAGGAUGACUGCCCUACGGUUUGUAAACUUCUUUUAUAAAGGAAUAAAGUGAGGCACGUGUGCCUUUUUGUAUGUACUUUAUGAAUAAGCAUCGGCUAACUCCGUGCCAGCAGCCGCGGUAAUACGGAGGAUCCGAGCGUUAUCCGGAUUUAUUGGGUUUAAAGGGAGCGUAGAUGGUUUGUUAAGUCAGUUGUGAAAGUUUGCGGCUCAACCGUAAAAUUGCAAUUGAUACUGGAAGUCUUGAGUACAGUUGAGGUAGGCGGAAUGCGUGGUGUAGCGGUGAAAUGCUUAGAUAUCACGAAGAACUCCGAUUGCGAAGGCAGCUUACUAAACUGUCACUGACAUUGAUGCACGAAAGUGUGGGUAUCAAACAGGAUUAGAUACCCCUGUAGUC